This is an unclassified non-coding RNA of Piliocolobus tephrosceles (Ugandan red Colobus), 112 nucleotides long. It matches the Rfam family "Y RNA". From Rfam's summary of the family: Y RNAs are components of the Ro ribonucleoprotein particle (Ro RNP), in association with Ro60 and La proteins. Lineage: Eukaryota; Metazoa; Chordata; Mammalia; Primates; Cercopithecidae. The record is from Ensembl.
GGCUGGUCCAAAGAUAGUGAGUUAUCUCAAUGGAUUGUGCACCAUCAGUUACAGGUAGAACUCCUUGUUCCACUUUUUCCCCCUUCUCACUACUGCAUUUGACUAGUUUUUU